Molecule: ribosomal RNA, 253 nt
Filed under: uncultured bacterium
Lineage: Bacteria
Description: partial 16S ribosomal RNA
Rfam family: Bacterial small subunit ribosomal RNA
Source: RNAcentral
UACGUAGGGGGCAAGCGUUGUCCGGAAUCAUUGGGCGUAAAGAGCGUGUAGGCGGCCCGAUAAGUCCGCUGUGAAAGUCCAGGGCUCAACCCUGGAAUGCCGGUGGAUACUGUCGGGCUAGAGUGCGGAAGAGGCGAGUGGAAUUCCUGGUGUAGCGGUGAAAUGCGCAGAUAUCAGGAGGAACACCGAUUGCGAAGGCAGCUCGCUGGGACGUAACUGACGCUGAGACGCGAAAGCGUGGGGAGCGAACAGG